This 478-nucleotide ribosomal RNA is filed under the name uncultured bacterium. Its description in RNAcentral is "partial 16S ribosomal RNA". It matches the Rfam family "Bacterial small subunit ribosomal RNA", at positions 28 to 523 of the family's 1533-position model. The record is from RNAcentral.
GACGAACGCUGGCGGCGUGCUUAACACAUGCAAGUCGAACGGUAAGGCCCUUCGGGGUACACGAGUGGCGAAAGGGUGAGUAACACGUGGGUGAUCUGCCCUGCACUUCGGGAUAAGCCUGGGAAACUGGGUCUAAUACCGGAUAGGACCACUGCCUGCAUGGGUGGUGGCGGAAAGCUUUUGCGGUGUGGGAUGGGCCCGCGGGCUAUCAGCUUGUUGGUGGGGUGAUGGCCUACCAAGGCGACGACGGGUAGCCGGCCUGAGAGGGUGACCUGCCACACUGGGACUGAGAUACUGCCCAGGCUCCUACGGUAAGCAGCAGUGGGGAAUAUUGCACAAUGGGCGCAAGCCUGAUGCAGCGACGCCGCGUGAGGGAUGACGGCCUUCGGGUUGUAAACCUCUUUCAGCAUCGAGGAAGCGCAAGUGACGGUAGGUGCAGAAGAAGGACCGGCCAACUACGUGCCAGCCGCCGCAGUAA